GGCGGAGUAGCUCAGGUGGUUAGAGCAGCGGAAUCAUAAUCCGCGUGUCGGGGGUUCAAGUCCCUCCUCCGCUC
RNAcentral lists this transfer RNA (74 nucleotides) under Rhodobacterales bacterium. Its description in RNAcentral is "tRNA-Met". It matches the Rfam family "tRNA". From Rfam's summary of the family: Transfer RNA (tRNA) molecules are approximately 80 nucleotides in length. Their secondary structure includes four short double-helical elements and three loops (D, anti-codon, and T loops). Lineage: Bacteria; Pseudomonadati; Pseudomonadota; Alphaproteobacteria; Rhodobacterales. The record is from RNAcentral.